ACAGGGAAUAGGGGCCAUUUGAGAUUAGGCCUCUACCACCUCCAGAGGGCAGGGCACCCAUGGCGCCACUCCUCCCCCAAAACAAGCACCUAAACUGAGCCAUAUUUGCGUGUCUGACCGGGGGAUUCCUCCAGACCCCAACCCAAACCCACUCACUACUCAGUCAGAAGUGCACUACUUUGUGCAUUAUAUAGGGAAUAAGGCACCAUUUUGGACGCGAACUGGCACUACUUAACAAUGGAUUGAGGAUUCAAUUGGUUGAUAUUGGAACAGGUCUUUACAUGGUAAAGGUAGACAGUUAGGGGAACAAGUCUUUACAUGGUAAAGGUAGACAGUUAGGUGAACUCACUUCAUUCACAGGGGAACAAGUCUUUACAUGGUAAAGGUAGACAGUCAGGGGAACAAGCAUCACCCACCUGGAUAUGUACUGGACUACAGUAAGAUGACAAACACAGCAUCAAAUCAACUUUGGACAUUUUCUGUUAUUUUUAUAAAGAAAGUCCACUUUCUGUUUUCCGCCAGGGAUUGAUUGGACAUUGUGGGGACGACGCAGAGAGACUUUUGAGGAGUGGAACUGAAUGGAACAAACAGUAUUAACGAAACAAGACACCUUGGAAUCAUAGAUCAUGAAACAACACCAGGAGGACCUUUCUUUGGGCCCAGAGUGUUGUUUCAGGUGAAUGAAGAAGGAGAGGAGGAGGAAGAUGAGGAGGAGGAAGAUAUUUCUACAGUAUUAAGUAAUAAUGAGCUCAAUUCAAUCAAAUUCGCCUUCCGGUAUUUACGCAGUAGUUGUUUAUUUUACCCUUAGUCAAAUGAUCAAAUGACAUGACAGAAUAGUUAUAGGGGUGAUGUAAACACCUACCACUGACAGGUAGACUCCACGGCCAGGUAGACUCCACGGCCAGGUAGACUCCACGGCCAGGUAGACUCCACGGCCAGGUAGACUCCACGGACAGGUAGACUCCACGGACAGGUAGACUCCAUGGCCAGGUAGACACUACGGCCAGGUAGACACCACGGCCAGGUAGACACCACGGCCAGGUAGACACCACGGCCAGGUAGACACCACAGCCAGGUAGACUCCACAGCCAGGUAGACACCACAGCCAGGUAGACACCACAGCCAGGUAGACUCCACAGCCAGGUAGACACCACAGCCAGGUAGACUCCACAGCCAGGUAGACUCCACGGACAGGUAGACUCCACGGACAGGUAGACUCCACGGCCAGGUAGACUCCACGGCCAGGUAGACUCCACGGCCAGGUAGACUCCACAGCCAGGUAGACACCACGGCCAGGUAGACACCACGGCCAGGUAGACUCCACGGCCAGGUAGACUCCACGGCCAGGUAGACUCCACGGCCAGGUAGACUCCACAGCCAGGUAGACACCACAGCCAGGUAGACUCAAAUGGUUUAGACUCCACAGCCAGGUAGACUCAAAUGGUUUAGACUCCACAGCCAGGUAGACUCCACAGCCAGGUAGACUCCACAGCCAGGUAGACUCCACAGCCAGGUAGAUGCUUCCAGCUCACAGACGUUUGGGUACGUGAAGACACUGUGUAAACAUUUCUAAAUGCAAGUUUGCUUGAAUACCAGCCCAUGUGUCACUAUUGAAGAGGAAUUGGGAGAGGGGUUAAACAUCCCCACAGAGUUUAAUAAACAACAUCCAUCUGGUUUUGUAGUACUAUAUAGAUCUGUAACUAUCUUUUUUUAGUUUUCACUACAGACUUGUGACUUUGUCUCGUCCUACGGAUGGUUACAACAAAUUUAUUUUGUAUUGUAGUUUUUGUUUUGUUGUUUUUGUUAAAGCUGUGUUACUGUUUUAAUGUGUACAAUCAACUCAAGUCAAAUGGUUUACAGUUGACUUUACACCCCCCGUUAUCCACGUGUCACUCACUCCUCUGUCAUGUUUGUGUUCCUGCAGUCUCUCUCUCUAUUUAACUCUAUCAAUCCUUACUGGGUUGCUGGACUCUCGUCUUCUCAUUAUCUCAUAAUCAUAAGUGGGGCUAGGAGUAUUUCAUUUCCUGACCAUGUGACCUGACCAGGAGAAACUCUAAACUCCUAGCCCUAAUCCUCAGUACCAAGGCC
This is a long non-coding RNA of Oncorhynchus tshawytscha (Chinook salmon), 2088 nucleotides long. The record is from Ensembl. Lineage: Eukaryota; Metazoa; Chordata; Actinopteri; Salmoniformes; Salmonidae.